This 22-nucleotide microRNA is filed under the name Caenorhabditis briggsae. Its description in RNAcentral is "Cbr-Mir-281-P4_5p* (star (passenger))". The record is from RNAcentral. Lineage: Eukaryota; Metazoa; Nematoda; Chromadorea; Rhabditida; Rhabditidae.
AAGGGAGCUUUCUUUUGACAGU